This 243-nucleotide ribosomal RNA is filed under the name uncultured Actinomycetales bacterium. RNAcentral describes it as "partial 16S ribosomal RNA". It matches the Rfam family "Bacterial small subunit ribosomal RNA", at positions 88 to 334 of the family's 1533-position model. The record is from RNAcentral. Lineage: Bacteria; Bacillati; Actinomycetota; Actinomycetes; Actinomycetales.
UACUCGAGUGGCGAACGGGUGAGUAACACGUGGGUGAUCUGCCCUGCAUUUCGGGAUAAGCUUGGGAAACUGGGUCUAAUACCGGAUAGGAGCCAUCUUUAGUGUGGUGGUUGGAAAGUUUUUUCGGUGUAGGAUGAGCUCGCGGCCUAUCAGCUUGUUGGUGGGGUAAUGGCCUACCAAGGCGGCGACGGGUAGCCGGCCUGAGAGGGUGUACGGCCACAUUGGGACUGAGAUACGGCCCAG